This 1342-nucleotide long non-coding RNA is filed under the name Sorghum bicolor (sorghum). RNAcentral's name for it is "long non-coding RNA (SBIC_LNC004042)". Lineage: Eukaryota; Viridiplantae; Streptophyta; Magnoliopsida; Poales; Poaceae. The record is from RNAcentral.
ACUGGGCCGGCCCGGACGUCUGCAACUACACGGGCGUCUACUGCGCGCCGCUCCCCUCCACCUCCGGGCGCGGCCGCGGCGCGCUCGCCGUCGCCGGGGUCGACCUCAACCACGGCGACAUCGCGGGGUUCCUCCCGCCCGAGCUCGGCCUCCUCGCCGACCUCGCCCUGCUCCACCUCAACUCCAACCGCUUCUGCGGCGUGCUCCCGACCGCGCUCCGCCGCCUCCGCCUCCUCCACGAGCUCGACCUCAGCAACAACCGCUUCGUCGGCCCGUUCCCGGCCGUCGUGCUCGACCUCCCGGCGCUCCGCUUCCUCGACCUCCGCUUCAACGACUUCGAGGGCGCCGUGCCGGCCCGCCUCUUCGACCGCCCGCUCGACGCCAUCUUCCUCAACCACAACCGCCUCCGCUUCCAGCUCCCCGACAACAUCGGCAACUCGCCGGCGUCCGUCCUCGUCCUCGCGCACAACAGCUUCGGCGGGUGCCUACCGGCGAGCGUCGCCAACAUGUCCGGCACGCUCAACGAGAUCCUGCUCAUCAACAACGGCCUCACCUCCUGCUUCCCGCCGGAGAUCGGCCUGCUGCGGGAGCUCACCGUGCUCGACGUCAGCUUCAACCAGCUCGCCGGCCCGCUGCCGCCGGAGCUCGCGCUCAUGAGGAAGCUGGAGCAGCUGGACGUCGCGCACAACCUGCUCACCGGCGCCAUACCGUCGGGGAUAUGCGACCUGCCGCGCCUCAAGAACUUCACCUUCGCCUACAACUUCUUCACGGGCGAGCCGCCGGCGUGCGCGCGCGUCGUGCCGCGGGACAGCGACCGGAGCAACUGCCUGCCCGACCGCCCCGCGCAGCGGACGCCGCAGCAGUGCGCCGCGUUCUACGCCCGCCCACCUGUUAACUGCGCCGCGUUCCACUGCAAGCCGUUCGUCCCGCCCAUGCCGCCGCCGCGGCUCCCAUCACCUCCCCCGCCGAUGCUCCCAUCGCCACCGCCGCCUCGGCUUCCAUCACCUCCCCCACCGAUGCUCCCACCACCGCCGCCACCGCAGCUGCCGCCCCCGCCUAUGCUCCCACCACCGCCACCGCCUUUGCCACCUCCACCAUCACCACCUCCGCCACUUCCGCCAUCACCACCUCCGCCGUCGCCACCGCUGCCCUCGCCACCGCCACCUCCACUGUUGCCGUCACCACCACCACCAUCACCGCUGCCCUCACCACCGCCACCUCCACUGCUGCCGUCACCACCACCACCAUCACCACGGCCGCGUUCCCCACCUCCACCAUCCUCGCCCCCUCCGGCACCAGUCUACCACCCACCACCACAGUGCCCGCCAUGCCCCGUUCUGCC